UACGAAGGGGGCUAGCGUUGUUCGGAAUUACUGGGCGUAAAGCGUGCGUAGUCGGUUAUCUAAGUCGGGUGUGAAAUCCCCGGGCUCAACCUGGGAAUUGCAUUCGAUACUGGAUAGCUAGAGUUCGGCAGAGGGAAGCGGAAUUUCGGGUGUAGCGGUGAAAUGCGUAGAUAUCCGAAGGAACAUCAGUGGCGAAAGCGGCUUCCUGGACCAGAACUGACGAUCAGGCACGAAAGCGUGGGGAGCAAACAGG
This 253-nucleotide ribosomal RNA is filed under the name uncultured bacterium. RNAcentral's name for it is "partial 16S ribosomal RNA". It matches the Rfam family "Bacterial small subunit ribosomal RNA", at positions 524 to 776 of the family's 1533-position model. The record is from RNAcentral.